RNAcentral lists this transfer RNA (71 nucleotides) under Loxodonta africana (African savanna elephant). It matches the Rfam family "tRNA". Rfam says of the family: Transfer RNA (tRNA) molecules are approximately 80 nucleotides in length. Their secondary structure includes four short double-helical elements and three loops (D, anti-codon, and T loops). Further hydrogen bonds mediate the characteristic L-shaped molecular structure. tRNAs have two regions of fundamental functional importance: the anti-codon, which is responsible for specific mRNA codon recognition, and the 3' end, to which the tRNAs corresponding amino acid is attached (by aminoacyl-tRNA synthetases). tRNAs cope with the degeneracy of the genetic code in two manners: having more than one tRNA (with a specific anti-codon) for a particular amino acid; and 'wobble' base-pairing, i.e. permitting non-standard base-pairing at the 3rd anti-codon position. Lineage: Eukaryota; Metazoa; Chordata; Mammalia; Proboscidea; Elephantidae. The record is from Rfam by way of RNAcentral.
GCAGUGGUGGUUCAGUGAUAGAAUUCUAGCCUUCAGUGUGGGAGACAUGGGUUUAAUUUCCAGCCAAUGCA